CAAGAAAUAGUUUAUUUAAAAUAUUAACUUUGGGAGUUAAUGAUAAAGGAGUUUCUUUUUUCUUGA
Molecule: transfer RNA, 66 nt
Filed under: Anopheles kompi
Lineage: Eukaryota; Metazoa; Arthropoda; Insecta; Diptera; Culicidae
Description: tRNA-Pro
Source: RNAcentral